AGCGAACGCUGGCGGCAGGCCUAACACAUGCAAGUCGAACGAACCUUUCGGGGUUAGUGGCGGACGGGGGAGUAACACGAGGGAACGUGCCUUUAGGUUCGGAAUAACUCAGGGAAACUUGUGCUAAUACCGAAUGUGCCCUUCGGGGGAAAGUUUUAUCGCCUUUCGAGCUGCCCGCGUCUGCUUAGCUAGUUGGUUGAGGUAAUGGCUCACCAAGACGACGAUCAGUAGCUGGUCUGAGAGGAGGAUAAGCCACAGUGGGGCUGAGACACGGCACAAACUCCUAGGGGAGGCAGCAGUGGGGAAUCUUGCGGAACGGGCGAAAGCCUAACGCAGCCAGGCCGCGUGAAUGAUGAAGGUCUUAGGAUUGGACAAUUCUUUAACAGGGGACGAUAAUGACGGUACCCGGAGAAGAAGCCCCGGCUAACUCCGUG
This 434-nucleotide ribosomal RNA is filed under the name uncultured bacterium. Its description in RNAcentral is "partial 16S ribosomal RNA". It matches the Rfam family "Bacterial small subunit ribosomal RNA", at positions 29 to 507 of the family's 1533-position model. The record is from RNAcentral.